ACAUCAUGGUUGGGGCAUUGAAAAAGCUUUCCAUUAAAUCUCUCCCACACCUCAUAUAAAGGCUCUCCGAUUAGUUAAUGAAAAUUUGUUAUAUCAACUCUCAAUUU
Molecule: non-coding RNA, 107 nt
Organism: Capsicum annuum
Lineage: Eukaryota; Viridiplantae; Streptophyta; Magnoliopsida; Solanales; Solanaceae
Source: Rfam